This 315-nucleotide signal recognition particle RNA is filed under the name Nitrososphaeria archaeon. RNAcentral's name for it is "signal recognition particle sRNA". It matches the Rfam family "Archaeal signal recognition particle RNA". Lineage: Archaea; Thermoproteati; Nitrososphaerota; Nitrososphaeria. The record is from RNAcentral.
UGGCGGGUAGGGCCGGGGGGCUAGCCCUCCCCUGAACCCGAAACGGGCUCACGCGGGGGCCAGCAACCCGGUGGAAGAGGGAUAUGGACCCCGGGGUGGGGCAUGGCGAUAGGUGAGGCCGCGCCCUUCCGGAGUCUAGUAGGGCGUAGUGCCCGGCGUAGGCCGGGCCUACUACGCCCGCAUGCACCGAACCGCGUCAGGCCCGGGAGGGAGCAGCGCUAAGGUGCAGCUAGGCUGCUGGAAGGUACACGUGGCUGAUAACAGCCCUGCCGUGCCUCCGGGGAUUCCCAGCCCUCGACCACUAGGGGGCCGCCG